Molecule: long non-coding RNA, 2302 nt
Filed under: Canis lupus familiaris (dog)
Lineage: Eukaryota; Metazoa; Chordata; Mammalia; Carnivora; Canidae
Description: lncRNA (ENSCAFG00805026061.1, ENSCAFG00845026468.1)
Source: RNAcentral
UUUUUUUUCCUGACUUACAUAAAACAAUAUUCAUUUCUAAUAAAUUCUCUAGAAAGUGAAUGCUUCCCUUGAGAUAACUGGGGACUCUGGGGUUUAGAUCAGUCAACCCAACACAUAUGGCCAAACUGAGGUGGUGGGGAGGCAGGGAAGGGGGAAGAGUAUCUCUUAGUGUAGGCUAACCAUGGCCAUUCCAUUGUCACCCCUAAGCCCUUUCUCAGCCAAGCCUCCAUGGAUCCCUACCCCAGGUUCUUGAUAGCACUGUUCCCCCACCCUCAUCUUUUCUUCCUCCACCCCCAGUUACUGCCUGAGGGCUUCUGUCCUGGCUUGUCACAACAUCAGGGAUGGAAAUCCUACUCCAGGCAACAUAAAAGGCACCAAGUUUCUACCAUCUGUCUGCCUAUAAUUCUUACCCCUCAUGUGAUUCUAAGAAACAGGCUUUUCCCAGUCCCCCUCUCUGUUUACUCCAGCUGACUUUUUCUUGAUUUGUCUCUGGGGGCAGGACAUCCUGAUACUAUAGCUUCAGAUAAAAGACAUGGGAUGUUCUUAGAAACCAGAAUUCUGUCCUACAAGAAUGCCUAGGGGUAUAUGGAAUCCCUAACCUGCUGGAGAAGGUCCCUUUGUUAUAGGGGAUCAGUGGGUGAGAAAGUGGCAAAUAACUAUUUUCCCCUUCAUAAGUCCCAAGUAUGUGGACGGGAAAUAUACUGUUUUGCCUCAGAUUUGCAUCAGCUAGGUUGGACCCAAGGGUCAGAAAUCCAGAAGAAAUAAUAUCAAAUCAUUUCACUGUAUUCAAGAGGAUUUCUCUUAUCUUCCCGAAUACUUGGGGGUGAAGCCAGACAGAGCUACUCAACUUGACAAAAAGACCGCUAAAAUGAUUGAAAACCCAUUUAAUUUUAUUUAGAGUCAUCUAAAGGUCUGCAUGGUUAGUUAGAUCUUGUUGAUCUGAAGGUGUAUAAGUACUGGGUUGCAAUUUUUUGCAAGUGAGGCACAUUUGUGCUGAUUUAUCCGUCAUAGGAUACUUUUCCUAGUUAUGCCGAUUGAGGCAUUUAUGAAAAACUGAAGUUUUUUGAUAAACAGUUUUUCCCUAAUUGAUUUUAAGAGGCUGUAAAACAAUAGCAGACGACAUAAUCUAUUUAUGCACCAACAUACUUUCUUUUGACUAAGAGUCAGAAGACAGUGCUUCUAGUACUAGCUAUGCUAGGAACCUCACAUUGAGCCUAGAGCGCAUGGCCCAGUAUCUUCCCUGCCUCUGGUUUGGGACCAGUGCUGAGAUCCCUUUAGCUCUAAUAUUCUGUGAUUCAAUCACUAGGAAGGGACUCAUUUGCAAAAUACAGCUUGUGUAGUUUGUGACUAUAGAAUCUCUGCUCACCUUUGAAUUCCCUCCUUGCCAUUUCUCCUCAUAUUUAAAAAAGGAAUGUCUACCAAAAGGUCCAGAAAAGAAGUCCAUUGACAGCAGCCAGUUUCCUAAAUUUAAUUCCAAAACCAAGAUCUCAUCCUACCCAGAUGCACCUCAACAGACUUCUCAGAGGGGGGAUAUGCACCUUCAGUUUCCCAGGACCAUAGCAAGGACUGGCACGUAUAUAGUAUGUUUCUAGGAUUUGGAGUAAAGGGCUCACCUCACCUCACCUCACCCUCACCCAUACUUUCUUGUGGACAAAAGGUCUCUAGCGCCAAAUAGGGCUGGGGGCAGGGAGCACACCCAGUGUUCUCCACCCACAAGAACUAACUAGCUUCACCACUUACUGCUGGAUGACAAAGAGCCAAUAACUUCAUUUCCCCAUGGCUUAGUUUUCUUACCCAUAAAAUGGGGAAAAAAAUAACUUAGUCGUCCAAGGUGGUUGUGAAGAGUAUAACUAAAACAGUUCACUCGAAAUAUCAAGAAGAGUGCUUGCCUGGCACAGAGUAAGAGUUCAAUAAAUACUAGCGCUGAUUGUCAUUACUACCUGUUUCCCCCGAGAGCUCAGCAAUGGUGGGAGGGAAACUCUGGUGUGGAUUUGAAGUCUUCCUUCAAGAGUUCCCCAGGGACAUGUUCCAACCUGUUUCUACAUGCAAAGGGAAGUGGCCUGAGCACAAACCUAGGUAAUAAGCAUCCAGAAGGAAAUGGGCCCAAGGGUGUUGGAAGCUAACUCUUCCCGGGGUGAGGGACUUAAUUCUGGGAUCCUACCUCAGGUGUCCAGGUAGUUCGGCAGAAGCCCACGCUCUAUCCCCACGUCGCCUGGCCUGUGAGGGUGUGGCCUUUGUGCUCAGGAGCUGCACCCGGAGUCUGCGCUGAGGGAAUCCCCGUUCCCGCUCCUUGGGGCUCUGG